UACGUAGGGGGCUAGCGUUGUCCGGAAUCAUUGGGCGUAAAGAGCGUGUAGGCGGCCCGGUAAGUCCGCUGUGAAAGUCGGGGGCUCAACCCUCGAAUGCCAGUGGAUACUGUCGGGCUAGAGUGCGGAAGAGGCGAGUGGAAUUCCUGGUGUAGCGGUGAAAUGCGCAGAUAUCAGGAGGAACACCAAUUGCGAAGGCAGCUCGCUGGGACGUAACUGACGCCGAGACGCGAAAGCGUGGGGAGCAAACAGG
This 253-nucleotide ribosomal RNA is filed under the name uncultured bacterium. Its description in RNAcentral is "partial 16S ribosomal RNA". It matches the Rfam family "Bacterial small subunit ribosomal RNA", at positions 524 to 776 of the family's 1533-position model. The record is from RNAcentral.